GACGAACGCUGGCGGCGUGCUUAACACAUGCAAGUCGAACGGGAACCUUUAUUUCGGUAAAGGUGAGAGUGGCAAACGGGUGAGUAACACGUAGGCAACCUGCCGACAGGAUGGGGACAACAUUCCGAAAGGAAUGCUAAUGCCGAAUGAAGUCACCGGAGGGCAUCCUCUGGCGAUGAAAGAUGGCCUCUGAAUAUGCUAUCACCUGUCGAUGGGCCUGCGUCUGAUUAGCCAGUUGGCGGGGUAACGGCCCACCAAAGCGACGAUCAGUAGCCGGUCUGAGAGGAUGAACGGCCACAUUGGGACUGAGACACGGCCCAGACUCCUACGGGAGGCAGCAGUGGGGAAUCUUCCACAAUGGGCGAAAGCCUGAUGGAGCAACGCCGCGUGAGUGAAGAAGGUCUUCGGAUCGUAAAGCUCUGUUGCACGGGACGAAAACCGAGCUUGAGAAUAUUGAGU
RNAcentral lists this ribosomal RNA (459 nucleotides) under Selenomonas sputigena. Its description in RNAcentral is "bacterial SSU rRNA". It matches the Rfam family "Bacterial small subunit ribosomal RNA", at positions 28 to 470 of the family's 1533-position model. Lineage: Bacteria; Bacillati; Bacillota; Negativicutes; Selenomonadales; Selenomonadaceae. The record is from RNAcentral.